CGUGCGCGGUGCCUCCCUCGGGCAGCCUCCUCCACCGCGUGCGUGAUGGCGGUGGAUGGCCGUCCCGCAACCGCGGUGGCGCCUGUCCAUGGCGUCGACUACACAAAACUCCCAUGGGGAAGUUUUCAUCCUUAUAGCAGAGAAGAAGGGCUUCACUUCAUCGUACCAGCCAGGAAAGGUGCAUGGUGGUUGCAAGCCAUGGAGGGGAGGCGGUCCUGUUCAACAUCGGCUAAUUGAACGCAAAUCAUGCGGCUUGUUGCUUGCCUAAUUGAACACCUGCUGCUGCUACUGCGACACCAUGGCUGGGGUGUCCAGUGGGUCGCGCCUACUUACCUGGCAGCAGUGGCGGCGGCUACAAGUUUUCUCCACUACUGCAACUCAUCUCCAAGUCCUACAGCCUGGAUCAUCUCCUUCACCAGCGCCUACAUUGGAUGAUAAACCUUUUUAAGAUCAAGGGGCAGAAGAAGGAAGAGGUGGCCAACUCAAAUGUGGGGCCUCCUGUUAAGAAGCAAAGUCCAGGGCGACGGCCGAAGGCAUGAUGAUAGUUCUAUUGUUGUCCUAGUGUAGCAAAGGUGGC
Long non-coding RNA from Triticum aestivum (bread wheat), 577 nucleotides. RefSeq lists it as uncharacterized. The record is from RefSeq and is a predicted model, not a curated record. The transcript has 4 exons. Lineage: Eukaryota; Viridiplantae; Streptophyta; Magnoliopsida; Poales; Poaceae.